CUGGAGAGUCCACACUGCAGACUGGAGACUCUGAGAUGGAGGUUGUGGUCUCUGUCAGACUGCGAGGGAUGAGAAAGGUGGUGGUGGUGUUGAGAGAGGAUCAGCUGUGUCCUGAUGAUCCAGAGAGGUUGAAGCAGCAGCAUCAGCUUGUGUGUGGAGAGGCUCUGACUGGGCCAUGUUACUGGGAGGUAGAGUGGAGAGGAGAGCUUCAUCCAGCAGUGACUGACUUUUCAAAAUUCUAAAAUUAAUUUGGUCCCUCUCCCAACUUGAACCCCAGGGUGGACCGUCAAAUGAUUCCAGCCCCCCAGAUAUGCUGUCAACCAUGUCCAAGACAUAAAAUCAAAUAAAAAUCAAUCAACGAGGAUAUAAUUGAAAUGACAAACUUAGAAAGGCGCUCUGUGUAUGUCGACUGUUGGACAGACUUGGAUGUGACCCUCUCAGGAGUGUAUUACUAAAGUGAGGCAAGGUGCACACACACACUUUCUGCUCAUCAUGUGCACAGUAGUGCAGAUUGGGCUGUAGGAAAAAUAAUAUGCUGUUCAUAUUUUGUCAGACUCAUUUUGGUAACUAUGUGUCACAUAUCCAUUAUCGCGUAAAUUACAUUUACAGUAGCAUACAGCAAUCCGUGACACAAUGCCCAAAUUUCUUUUUACAACUGUUUUUUUUGUAAAUUAAGAACUGUUACGUUCUGAUGUUCUGAUGAUGAUGUUCUGUUGUAAGAAGAAAAGCUUCCAAAAUGUUUGAAAUUGUGGAAAUACAUGUUACUGUCCUUGAUAACAGGAACUAUUUUUCUUUCUAAAUGUUAUAACAAAAUCUGUACCUUUAAAUAAUAACAAGCCAUUAAAACGCCAAAAAAACACGUCAAUCAGAGAGAUUUUAUGGUGAUUUGCAUAUUUUUCUAUUCUAAGUUUUCUGGAUUUUUAAGAGGGGGAUGGAGAGUAGUUAUAUUUUAUUUAAAGGUGUAUUUAGAUAGUCAACAAAGAAACAUAAUGUACCUGACACAUAAACCUGGUUAAUACCUUUAAUUAUAAUCAUUUUCUGGAGGUUUAUAUUGCUGUGGUCAAAUAGAUGUUGAGGAGGAGAGUUAAAUGCUUCUGAUGAGUCUUUCAUUUAAAAGUGGUAGAGGAUGAUGAUUUUUGCGAUGAUGCUGAAGGCCUGAUGUACUGCAGGUUAUAUGUUAAGUUGUCUCUUGAUGUACAUUGUUUUGUGUGGGUUGUGUGCUGGGUUUUAGUGUUUUACAUAUUUUUAUAUUUGAUGUGUUUUGUGUUCAGUGUUCCUCAAGGAGGAACACUGAACUCUUAAACAGAGUUGUGAUCUCUACAUGCCGUUACAUCUGAAUUUAAAUAAAGAGAAAAAAAGCCAA
Molecule: long non-coding RNA, 1363 nt
Organism: Micropterus dolomieu (smallmouth bass)
Lineage: Eukaryota; Metazoa; Chordata; Actinopteri; Centrarchiformes; Centrarchidae
Exons: 2
Source: RefSeq, a predicted model, not a curated record